This is a small nuclear RNA of Protopterus annectens (West African lungfish), 165 nucleotides long. RefSeq annotates it as U1 spliceosomal RNA. The record is from RefSeq and is a predicted model, not a curated record. NCBI's taxonomy places the organism in Eukaryota, Metazoa, Chordata, Ceratodontiformes, Protopteridae. The transcript has a single exon.
AACCUUACCUGGCAGGGGGAAUACCAUGAUCAAGAAGGUGGUUUCCCCAGGGAGAGGCUUGUCCAUUGCACAUUUUGGUUGGGUUGACCCCUGUGAUUUCCUCAAAUGUGGGAAACUCAACUGCAUAAUUGAGGUAGAGACUAUGAUUAAUAUUAAGCUAGCCUG